AGAGUUUGAUCCUGGCUCAGGAUGAACGCUAGCGACAGGCCUAACACAUGCAAGUCGAGGGGCAUCGAGAGUGUAGCAAUACACUUGUCGGCGACCGGCGCACGGGUGAGUAACACGUAUGCAACCUGCCCGUUGCAGGGGGAUAAUCUCGGGAAACCGGGUCUAAUACCCCAUAAUGCAGGGAUCCCGCAUGGGAUUAUUUGCUAAAGAAUAUCGGCAACGGAUGGGCAUGCGUUCCAUUAGCUAGUUGGUGAGGUAACGGCUCACCAAGGCCACGAUGGAUAGGGGUUCUGAGAGGAAGGUCCCCCACAUUGGAACUGAGACACGGUCCAAACUCCUACGGGAGGCAGCAGUGAGGAAUAUUGGUCAAUGGGUGCAAACCUGAACCAGCCAAGUCGCGUGAAGGAAGAAUGUCCUAAGGAUUUUAAACUUCUUUUGUCAGGGAGUAAAGGCACUUACGUGUAAGUGUUUGCAAGUACCUGGAGAAAAAGCAUCGGCUAACUCCGUGCCAGCAGCCGCGGUAAUACGGAGGGUGCGAGCGUUAUCCGGAUUUAUUGGGUUUAAAGGGUGCGUAGGCGGCACGUCAAGUCAGCGGUGAAAUCCCGGAGCUCAACUCCGAAACUGCCGUUGAAACUGACGAGCUAGAGUACGGUAGAAGUAUGCGGAAUGCGUGGUGUAGCGGUGAAAUGCAUAGAUAUCACGCAGAACCCCGAUUGCGAAGGCAGCAUACCAGACCGCGACAGACGCUGAAGCACGAAAGCGUGGGUAUCAAACAGGAUUAGAUACCCUGGUAGUCCACGCAGUAAACGAUGAAUACUAACUGUUUGCGAAACAAUGUAAGCGGUA
RNAcentral lists this ribosomal RNA (846 nucleotides) under uncultured bacterium. Its description in RNAcentral is "bacterial SSU rRNA". It matches the Rfam family "Bacterial small subunit ribosomal RNA", at positions 8 to 848 of the family's 1533-position model. The record is from RNAcentral.